This 88-nucleotide transfer RNA is filed under the name Caudoviricetes sp. RNAcentral's name for it is "tRNA-Asn". It matches the Rfam family "tRNA". From Rfam's summary of the family: Transfer RNA (tRNA) molecules are approximately 80 nucleotides in length. Their secondary structure includes four short double-helical elements and three loops (D, anti-codon, and T loops). Lineage: Duplodnaviria; Heunggongvirae; Uroviricota; Caudoviricetes. The record is from RNAcentral.
GGCACUAUCGUUCAAUGGCAGGACAACAAAGACUAUUACUGGGGCGGUUAGUUCUUCGUAAAUAAGGGUUCGAAUCCUUUUAGUGCCA